UACGUAGGGUGCAAGCGUUGUCCGGAAUUAUUGGGCGUAAAGAGCUCGUAGGCGGUCUGUCGCGUCGGCUGUGAAAUCCCGAGGCUCAACCUCGGGUCUGCAGUCGAUACGGGCAAACUAGAGUAUUGCAGGGGAGACUGGAAUUCCCGGUGUAGCGGUGAAAUGCGCAGAUAUCAGGAGGAACACCGGUGGCGAAGGCGGGUCUCUGGGCAAUAACUGACGCUGAGGAGCGAAAGCGUGGGGAGCGAACAGG
This 253-nucleotide ribosomal RNA is filed under the name uncultured bacterium. RNAcentral's name for it is "partial 16S ribosomal RNA". It matches the Rfam family "Bacterial small subunit ribosomal RNA", at positions 524 to 776 of the family's 1533-position model. The record is from RNAcentral.